GUUUUGUGCAGAAAAACAAAGGCCACUCAUUUAUAUUUGCCCCCUGGCAGGUGAUAGACUUCCCCUGGGUAAUGUCCAAUCGAAGAGAAAUUUUACCCAUUUUACAAUCACUUACCUGCGCGUACAAUGAAAUUAAAAUUCUAUAGCCUUCCAGUAGUUAAUGACUUUGACCCAAGGGAAAGAGGGAAAGUAUUUUUCAGACGGAGCAAAUUAUAAAACCCACAUUUGUUUUGGAUUCCUAAAUUAUUUAUUUAUCUGAGAUGGUUUGGGAAACUGAUGGUCACAUUUACCAACAAAAAAAGAAGCUAUACGGAUACAGGUAAAAUUUUGGAAGACAAAAAAUGCAUAGGCACUGGGAUUUACAAAAACCUAUGAAUACUUUAUGCCUGCCGAUCUACCAUUAGCCGAGGGGGUUGUGCAGAAGUCAAAACUGUAACACAGAUAUGUUUCGUAUCCAAGAAAGAACAGCAAAAACAAACACACAAAAAAGAAAACAACAAAAUAACAGGCCAUCAUUAAAGAUGUCUUAGAAAGUAUUUUACUGAGCUAUGAACCAUUUAUACUUUGACCAAAAGCAAAAUGACCAUGUACCAUACAAUAUGACUUCAAAGGGGCCUAUUCAAUAAAUGGUACAUAGUGGUGGCAAUUUGUACUGAACAGAAAAAUAGUCAGCAAAAUACAUUGGAGAUGGAGAAUUUUUAACGGAGUCUCAAACAUUUUUCAACUCUUUUCAAUUUUAACAGCUCUUCCCAAUUUACUAUAUUUGGAUUCUUAGUAACUAAAUCCCAUCUGUCUUAACCCUUUAUGGAAGUUAUUUGUCAGCUCACUGACUGUUAAGUGAAUAUAUCUAACAUGGAUAUCCACUAAACCGAGAAUUCAAAUGUGAAUUUCAAAUUUAAGGUCAAAGAUGUUUUACUGGAAGCACAGCUGACUGGAAGAAUUUUUUCAGUUUGGUUACUUUGGCCUUAAAGGGACAUUUACUUACUAAACUCCAGAACUUCUGUGAAUUUAUUCCAAAUGUGAAAAGCGUGGUUUGCACAGGAAAUAUUCUCCAGUUUUGCGAUAGUCACAGAUCACGUAUCUUUGCCUCAGUUCUGCCGUUUAGAAUUAAUCCAUGAAAAUCUGGAGUUUAGUGAAUAAAUUCUUUUGCAGUUGUAUCACAUGUGUACCUCAUUGUUUGAUUUGCAAAGCAC
Non-coding RNA from Pelobates cultripes (western spadefoot toad), 1193 nucleotides. The record is from the annotation of a GenBank genome assembly. Lineage: Eukaryota; Metazoa; Chordata; Amphibia; Anura; Pelobatidae.